This 724-nucleotide ribosomal RNA is filed under the name uncultured eukaryote. RNAcentral's name for it is "bacterial SSU rRNA". It matches the Rfam family "Eukaryotic small subunit ribosomal RNA", at positions 673 to 1426 of the family's 1831-position model. The record is from RNAcentral.
UGGGCCACCGUUUGUUGAGUGCAAAUAUGGAUGACUGUUUUUGCCGGCUUCACUGUCGGCUUAUAAGGGUUAUCAAAUAUCACUUUGAUUAAAUUAGAGUGCUCAAAGCAAGUGUGUUACUUGGAUAUAAAUGCAUGGAAUGAUGGAAUAUGUUGUUGUUCUAUUUGUCGGUUUUUGAACGAUGAAAUGAUUGAAAGGAACCGUUGGGGGCAUUCGUAUUGUUGUGAGAGAGGUGAAAUUCUUAGACCACAGCAAGACGAACUACUGCGAAAGCAUUUGCCAAGAAUGUUUUCAUUGAUCAAGAACGAAAGUUAGAGGUUCGAAGGCGAUCAGAUACCGCCCUAGUUCUAACCAUAAACUAUGCCAACUAGCAAUCUGCUUAUAUAUGUUCUAUGAUUAAGUAGGCGGCCACGGGAAACCAAAGUAGGGUUAUGGGGGAAGUAUGGUUGCAAAGCUGAAACUUAAAGGAAUUGACGGAAGGGCACCACCAGGAGUGGAGCCUGCGGCUUAAUUUGACUCAACACGGGAAAACUUACCUGGUCCUGACACUAGAAGGAUUGACAGAUUGAUAGCUCUUUCUUGAUUCAGUGGGUGGUGGUGCAUGGCCGUUCUUAGUUGGUGGAGUGAUUUGUCUGGUUAAUUCCGAUAACGAACGAGACUCUAGCCUACUAAAUAGUCGCGGGCGUUCUUGUACCGCCCGUCGGCUUCUUAGAGGGACAGGCGG